Molecule: ribosomal RNA, 497 nt
Filed under: uncultured bacterium
Lineage: Bacteria
Description: partial 16S ribosomal RNA
Rfam family: Bacterial small subunit ribosomal RNA
Source: RNAcentral
GAUGAACGCUGGCGGCGUGCCUAAUACAUGCAAGUCGAGCGAACGGACGAGGAGCUUGCUCCUCUGACGUUAGCGGCGGACGGGUGAGUAACACGUGGAUAACCUACCUAUAAGACUGGGAUAACUUCGGGAAACCGGAGCUAAUACCGGAUAAUAUUUUGAACCGCAUGGUUCAAAAGUGAAAGACGGUCUUGCUGUCACUUAUAGAUGGAUCCGCGCUGCAUUAGCUAGUUGGUAAGGUAACGGCUUACCAAGGCAACGAUGCGUAGCCGACCUGAGAGGGUGAUCGGCCACACUGGAACUGAGACACGGUCCAGACUCCUACGGGAGGCAGCAGUAGGGAAUCUUCCGCAAUGGGCGAAAGCCUGACGGAGCAACGCCGCGUGAGUGAUGAAGGUCUUCGGAUCGUAAAACUCUGUUAUUAGGGAAGAACAUAUGUGUAAGUAACUGUGCACAUCUUGACGGUACCUAAUCAGAAAGCCACGGCUAACUACGUG